AUUCUAAAUUAUAAUAUAUAAUAAAUAUUUAUAUAUAUAUAAUUAUUUUAUUAUUAUAAUAUAUAAAUAUAU
Molecule: transfer RNA, 72 nt
Filed under: Eucriotettix oculatus
Lineage: Eukaryota; Metazoa; Arthropoda; Insecta; Orthoptera; Tetrigidae
Description: tRNA-Ile
Source: RNAcentral